AGGGAAAGGCGAAAAGAACCCCGGCGAGGGGAGUGAAACAGAACCUGAAACCGUGUACGUACAAGCAGUGGGAGCACCUUCGUGGUGUGACUGCGUACCUUUUGUAUAAUGGGUCAGCGACUUAUAUUUUGUAGCAAGGUUAACCGAAUAGGGGAGCCGUAGGGAAACCGAGUCUUAACUGGGCGAAUAGUUGCAAGGUAUAGACCCGAAACCCGGUGAUCUAGCCAUGGGCAGGUUGAAGGUUGGGUAACACUAACUGGAGGACCGAACCGACUAAUGUUGAAAAAUUAGCGGAUGACUUGUGGCUGGGGGUGAAAGGCCAAUCAAACCGGGAGAUAGCUGGUUCUCCCCGAAAGCUAUUUAGGUAGCGCCUCGUGAACUCAUCUUCGGGGGUAGAGCACUGUUUCGGCUAGGGGGUCAUCCCGACUUACCAAACCGAUGCAAACUCCGAAUACCGAAGAAUGUUAUCACGGGAGACACACGGCGGGUGCUAACGUCCGUCGUGAAGAGGGAAACAACCCAGACCGCCAGCUAAGGUCCCAAAGUCAUGGUUAAGUGGGAAACGAUGUGGGAAGGCACAGACAGCCAGGAUGUUGGCUUAGAAGCAGCCAUCAUUUAAAGAAAGCGUAAUAGCUCACUGGUCGAGUCGGCCUGCGCGGAAGAUGUAACGGGGCUAAACCAUGCACCGAAGCUGCGGCAGCGAACGUAUCACUUAAAACGCUUAACGUGACGGCAAAGCCGGCAUGUUCAAGCCACACUAAACGUUGAGUUGGCCGGUGUGCUGACAAACGAACAGGCGUUUUAAGGAUACGUUCGUUGGGUAGGGGAGCGUUCUGUAAGCCGUUGAAGGUGGUCUGUGAGGGCUGCUGGAGGUAUCAGAAGUGCGAAUGCUGACAUAAGUAA
Molecule: ribosomal RNA, 903 nt
Filed under: Yersinia enterocolitica
Lineage: Bacteria; Pseudomonadati; Pseudomonadota; Gammaproteobacteria; Enterobacterales; Yersiniaceae
Description: partial 23S ribosomal RNA
Rfam family: Bacterial large subunit ribosomal RNA
Source: RNAcentral